CCUACGGGGGGCUGCAGUAGGGAAUAUUGCUCAAUGGGGGAAACCCUGAAGCAGCAACGUCGCGUGGAGGAUGAAGGUUUUCGGAUUGUAAACUCCUUUUGUUAGAGAAGAUAAUGACGGUAUCUAACGAAUAAGCACCGGCUAACUCCGUGCCAGCAGCCGCGGUAAUACGGAGGGUGCAAGCGUUACUCGGAAUCACUGGGCGUAAAGGGCGCGUAGGCGGGAUAGCAAGUCAGAUGUGAAAUCCUAUGGCUUAACCAUAGAACUGCAUUUGAAACUGGUAUUCUAGAGUAUGGGAGAGGUAGGUGGAAUUCUUGGUGUAGGGGUAAAAUCCGUAGAGAUCAAGAGGAAUACUCAUUGCGAAGGCGACCUGCUAGAACAUAACUGACGCUGAUGCGCGAAAGCGUGGGGAGCAAACAGGAUUAGAUACCCGGGUAGUC
RNAcentral lists this ribosomal RNA (440 nucleotides) under uncultured bacterium. RNAcentral's name for it is "partial 16S ribosomal RNA". It matches the Rfam family "Bacterial small subunit ribosomal RNA", at positions 338 to 795 of the family's 1533-position model. The record is from RNAcentral.